AAAUUGUCGCAGUUGGUUAGAGCACUUGAUUUACAUUCAAGAGGUCGAGGGUUCUCCCGUUUUUUUG
RNAcentral lists this transfer RNA (67 nucleotides) under Candidatus Omnitrophota bacterium. RNAcentral describes it as "tRNA-Val". Lineage: Bacteria; Pseudomonadati; Candidatus Omnitrophota. The record is from RNAcentral.